AAUGAGGUGCUGGGCUUUUGAAGGCAGUGUGAGGGCUCUGAAAGAGUCCCAGAGUCCUCCUGCCUCCUUCCCAAAGCCUAGUUAGCACAUUACCAGCUUUGGGAAGAAGAUGGGAGGGCUCUAAGACCCUUGCAGAGCCUUGUACCUCCUUCCCAAAGCCCAACACUUCACUU
Non-coding RNA from Podarcis lilfordi (Lilford's wall lizard), 173 nucleotides. The record is from the annotation of a GenBank genome assembly. Lineage: Eukaryota; Metazoa; Chordata; Lepidosauria; Squamata; Lacertidae.